This 807-nucleotide long non-coding RNA is filed under the name Bemisia tabaci. RNAcentral describes it as "lncRNA ENSSSA1NGG013467". Lineage: Eukaryota; Metazoa; Arthropoda; Insecta; Hemiptera; Aleyrodidae. The record is from RNAcentral.
GGUAAUAUCAUCUUUUUUCAGAAAUAAUAUUGCUCCGUUGCUACAACCUCGUGACUAUCUUGCUCUAGUGUACACUCAAUUUUUUUCGAGUGGUUUUUUAUUUCUAUAAUCCGUCCACUUUUCCAUUUUAUAGUAAAAAAUGCAAUACCUUGUGAUUGAUAUGCAGUGAAUAUACAGACAGUUGGUCACGUGCGGGUACAAUUGUAGUUUUUCUCUUAGUUCCACCCUCUUUUUUAUCAAUUUUUUACCCUCAUAAUUGUUCUCUAUUUUCUUUUCAUAUUUUUGUUAUUGACACGUUUUCUUUGUUUCUUAUAGGUUUUUGUGGGUAAUACCAGCUCCAUUUUGAAUAUUUCACUGCUUAAAAAACGUGAAAACCUGCGACCCACCCAUAUUUUCCCCGGCAUUCCUCAAACGGUUUGGUAAUGACACAAACUAAAAUGCCCAGAACUAUCCUCACGCUGUUAUUUUUGGUAAUCACUGCUAGACUCGAUGAGGCUCACGAGUCCCAGGAGUCUGAGAACGGUCCCACCUCACAGAAAGGGUUAUUCGAUCCGGAUGAAUUCGAAAGAAUUUUUAAAAUAUUUAAAACAUGGAAAUGGGACAGAGAAUUUGAAAUGAAAACAUUGAAUAUAAUCUUCAUUUCCUAGAGAAUCCCAUUAGGCCAAUGGUUCACUUAUCGGAAGCGGCUAGAGUAAUCGCAUAUUAUUUGGAAGAAUCUUGUGAAGAGAAUAAUUGGGUCCACGGGAAAAAAGUGCUGGAGCUGGGAGCGGGGCUUGGCCUCCCUGGCAUUGUUGCUGCGUGUUUAGG